CGCAGCCGCGGUAAUUCCAGCUCCAAUAGCGUAUAUUAAAGUUGUUGCAGUUAAAAAGCUCGUAGUUGAAUUUCGGGGUCAGUAGGUUGGUCAUGCCUUCGGUAUGUACUGGUCUCACUGAUUCCUCCCUCUUGAAGAACUGUAAUGUCAUUAAUUUGGUGUUGCGGGGAAACAGGAUUGUUACUUUGAAAAAAUUAGAGUGUUUAAAGCAGGCUCACGCUUGAAUACAUUAGCAUGGAAUAAUGAAAUAGGACGUUCGAUCCUAUUUUGUUGGUUUCUAGGAUUGACGUAAUGAUUAAUAGGGAUAGUUGGGGGCAUUAGUAUUCAAUUGUCAGAGGUGAAAUUCUUGGAUUUAUUGAAGACUAACUACUGCGAAAGCAUUUGCCAAGGAUGUUUUCAUUAAUCAAGAACGAAAGUUAGGGGAUCGAAGACGAUCAGAUACCGUCGUAG
This 450-nucleotide ribosomal RNA is filed under the name uncultured Glomeromycotina. RNAcentral describes it as "SSU rRNA". It matches the Rfam family "Eukaryotic small subunit ribosomal RNA", at positions 569 to 1023 of the family's 1831-position model. Lineage: Eukaryota; Fungi; Glomeromycota. The record is from RNAcentral.